AUGCAUCAUGCUGAUACGGAGAGUGUGAUAUACCUCACAACUUGUAACAAUUGUUUCUUGACUUUUAAACUUGAAACAACCACCAAUAAAUAUAUGGCACGUGGAUUAUUAGAAUUAUAUAUAAAAAAAGAAACAUAUAUUACCAAGCACCAGCAGAACGAUACACUUUCUUUUCUUCCCUUUCAGAACAAACAAAAGUUUCUCCUCCUCCUUUCUUUAGCAUCCCUUUCUUAUUCUUCUUCAAAUCGAACAUCUUCUCCUCCUUAUUCCAGUACAGCAAAAAAUAGCACAGUGACAUGA
This is a non-coding RNA of Vicia faba (fava bean), 300 nucleotides long. NCBI's taxonomy places the organism in Eukaryota, Viridiplantae, Streptophyta, Magnoliopsida, Fabales, Fabaceae. The record is from the annotation of a GenBank genome assembly.